GCAACAAAGUCUAGGAGAGGGAGUUCGUCUUGUGGUACGUCGUGAAGAUGAAGGUGUGUCUCUUCCCGGACGUGUUUAUCUAUGACGUGUUUAAGUGUGCAAUAGGCGAUAUUUACUACCGUCCCAUAUAAAACGGAGACGGGAUACUGCCUAUCUAGUCGUGCCAGCAAACUUGGAAGGUGGUGUAUCCCCUCUCGUUCGGCCAACAUCAUCAGACCAGCCGAGCUGUCAAGAAUUCUGGACGAACUGUGUGUGAAGGGAUUCAAGGUUUUGGCGAAUAUCUUGGACGUCGCAAAAAGAGUUAUCGAAAAUGGAGGGAAACAAAACACCAGAACGCACGGCUCCACCUUCCGUGACUCCCGUGAAGCUGGCUCGAAAAAUGCGGCGAUCAAAGAGGCGUAAAACGCCAAUCCAAUCUAGACGGGUGCCCAUAUUGAAAAAGAAUGAUAAGACGGGAGAAAUCUUUCUUAUGGAAUCUCCGGAAUCACCGCCUUCGGUGUCACAGUCCCCAGGAACGCCACCAUCAAUGCCGGAAUCUCCAGAAUCGCCACCCAUCGUUCCGGAAUCUCCGGAAUUGCCACCCAUC
Ixodes scapularis (black-legged tick) is the source of this 586-nucleotide long non-coding RNA. RefSeq lists it as uncharacterized. The record is from RefSeq and is a predicted model, not a curated record. The transcript has 3 exons. Lineage: Eukaryota; Metazoa; Arthropoda; Arachnida; Ixodida; Ixodidae.